Molecule: ribosomal RNA, 493 nt
Filed under: uncultured bacterium
Lineage: Bacteria
Description: bacterial SSU rRNA
Rfam family: Bacterial small subunit ribosomal RNA
Source: RNAcentral
GGCUCAGAUUGAACGCUGGCGGCAUGCCUUACACAUGCAAGUCGAACGGCAGCACGGGAGCUUGCUCCUGGUGGCGAGUGGCGAACGGGUGAGUAAUGCAUCGGAACGUGCCCUGAAGUGGGGGAUAACGUAGCGAAAGUUACGCUAAUACCGCAUAUUCUGUGAGCAGGAAAGCAGGGGAUCUUCGGACCUUGCGCUUUUGGAGCGGCCGAUGUCGGAUUAGCUAGUUGGUGAGGUAAAGGCUUACCAAGGCGACGAUCUGCAGCGGGUCUGAGAGGAUGAUCCGCCACACUGGAACUGAGACACGGUCCAGACUCCUACGGGAGGCAGCAGUGGGGAAUUUUGGACAAUGGGCGCAAGCCUGAUCCAGCCAUGCCGCGUGAGUGAAGAAGGCCUUCGGGUUGUAAAGCUCUUUCGGCCGGGAAGAAAUCGCAUGGGUUAAUACCCUGUGUGGAUGACGGUACCGGAAUAAGAAGCACCGGCUAACUACGUG